Small nucleolar RNA from Rana temporaria (common frog), 101 nucleotides. RefSeq annotates it as small nucleolar RNA SNORD22. The transcript has a single exon. Lineage: Eukaryota; Metazoa; Chordata; Amphibia; Anura; Ranidae. The record is from RefSeq and is a predicted model, not a curated record.
CCCCAAGGAUGAAACCUUCACAUGUCCGACCAUCUGAUCUCCACCAGAGCCUGAAAAGGUGAACCCACUGGUGUAGUCAUGGAUGGAACAGUCUGAGGGGA